GCAUACUUUGAAGAAGUUCCAGCAAUUUCUAAUUCCAUAGCAAUGUCCAAAGACCAUACAAAAGAAACAAACAAGGAGCAACAAGAACAAAAAUCAAAUGUAUUGGACGAUCGACCAUUCUAGAAUUUCUGUUUGUAAACUGCCCCAAGGUGCAACACUAUCUCCACUGCUGACCAAAAUAGCCUGGGAACUCCUGCAACCAUCACCACUACAGCAGAUAUGUCAUAAGCCAGUAUUUAAGAAAGCAACAGAAGAAACAAGAAGAAAAUAGGAGCAUGUAUAGCAAGAUAUAUUAAUCAUGAAAACCAGUUAAAUUAAAACUCUUGGGGAUGAUGAUGAUAUAUGGACUGCAACAAUCCCCUUCCAAAUCUUCAUCACCAUCAGACCAGUCAGAUUCAUCAAGUCCACAUCCAUUACCUGAACACACUUACUUCACCCAAAAGACUAUUGCGUGGUUUUCUGACUUCCAAAUAUGUUUAGUUAACCCUUAUGACUACAAGUUGCAUAUGCUGUUGCAUAUAUCUGAGAAGGGGAACUGCCUUGAUAUAUAUAUAUCUGUAUCCCAGAGCUCAUUGCAUUGAAUUGCUCCCAGGACUUCGGAAUCCGAC
Molecule: long non-coding RNA, 608 nt
Filed under: Fragaria vesca (wild strawberry)
Lineage: Eukaryota; Viridiplantae; Streptophyta; Magnoliopsida; Rosales; Rosaceae
Description: long non-coding RNA (FVES_LNC000685)
Source: RNAcentral